GACGAACGCUGGCGGCGUGCUUAACACAUGCAAGUCGAACGAAGAGCGAUGGAAGCUUGCUUGUAUCAAUCUUAGGGACGAGUGGGUAAGUAACGCGUAAUCUACCUGCCACUCAGAGGGGGACACAGGGAGGUGAGGACUACUAAUAACGGAUACGACCUAAGCAUGGCGUCGGGGAAAGAGGAAAGGUGGUCGGUAUUGAUAACGCAGCAUUUCAGGUGGUGGGUGCGGCUGAUUAGUUAGAUGGAGGGGAAAGGGCCCACCAAGGCGAUGGUAAGUAGCCGGUCUGCGAGGAUGAACGGCCACAUUGGGACUGUGACCCGGCACAGACUCAUAGGGGAGGCAGCAGUGGGGAAUCUUCCGCAAUGGACGAAAGUCUGACGGAGCAACGCCGCGUGAGUGAUGACGGCCGUCGGGUUGUAAAGCUCUGUUAAUCGGGACGAAAGGCCUUCUUGCGAAUAGUGAGAAGGAUUGACGGUACCGGAAUAGAAAGCCACGGCUAACUACGUG
Molecule: ribosomal RNA, 510 nt
Filed under: uncultured bacterium
Lineage: Bacteria
Description: partial 16S ribosomal RNA
Rfam family: Bacterial small subunit ribosomal RNA
Source: RNAcentral